AGUAUUUUGGGAUUGCGUGUGUCUUCGCAUGGUGUGUGAGCGGAAAUACAGCCUACGGUCGUAUUCAGCAGAUGCCAGUAGAAGGCAGCACAGAUGACACAGAGGAAGGAUCGACUUUAGAUAUCAGGACCACAAUAACCUCGGUGGACAAUAAUUUACUUGGAAAAGAUAACAAGACAAUCCCAAAAGAAGAUGUUUACUGCCUGGCUCCACAUCCAUGACUCCAGAUCACACACUAACACACAACAUUCAUAUGGGUCUAAGUUCUAUAUUUUCUUUUCUUUUGACAGUAAACGUACCUAUUUUUAUGACAGAAUGUGACUUAAACUUUAAUUAUGGGUAUAGUUAUCACGUGAAACAUUUAUUACUGAAUCUAUUAACCUGCCGUUUGGACGAUCUGCGCUGUGUUGCACUGUUAUUACCUUUAUAUAUUUAUUUACUUUUCUUUUAAUUGAACUCAAUAACAUCAGGUCUUUCACCACACUAUGUGAUUAUUUUACUUUGUUUUCACAUAAAUUAAUACAAGGUGUAAUGUAAAGUAAUGUGUUCUGGCUUUAGUUUUGUUUACAUUAAUGCUGAAUUAAUUUUUAUCUCACCUACAUCUACUGUAUAUGUGUUUAAAGAAGGAAUAAGAACUAUUAGUUUAAUGUAAGUAUACUGUACACAGACAGCACAUGUGACAGAAGACCUUAUUGCUCCGUGUGUAAAGAAGAAUAUGAUGUGCUUUCUGCAGAAAACAGUACUUCAGGUUCUGUAAUGACAAUCACAUCAGCAUUUCCUCUUUGUGUUAUCAGUUUUGAAAUAA
Clarias gariepinus (North African catfish) is the source of this 805-nucleotide long non-coding RNA. RefSeq lists it as uncharacterized. The record is from RefSeq and is a predicted model, not a curated record. The transcript is spliced from 5 exons. Lineage: Eukaryota; Metazoa; Chordata; Actinopteri; Siluriformes; Clariidae.